Molecule: ribosomal RNA, 253 nt
Filed under: uncultured bacterium
Lineage: Bacteria
Description: partial 16S ribosomal RNA
Rfam family: Bacterial small subunit ribosomal RNA
Source: RNAcentral
UACGUAGGGCGCAAGCGUUAUCCGGAAUUAUUGGGCGUAAGGAGCUCGUAGGCGGUUUGUCGCGUCUGCCGUGAAAGUCCGGGGCUCAACUCCGGAUCUGCGGUGGGUACGGGCAGACUAGAGUGAUGUAGGGGAGACUGGAAUUCCUGGUGUAGCGGUGAAAUGCGCAGAUAUCAGGAGGAACACCGAUGGCGAAGGCAGGUCUCUGGGCAUUAACUGACGCUGAGGAGCGAAAGCGUGGGGAGCGAACAGG